UACAGAGGUCCCAAGCGUUGUCCGGAGUUACUGGGCGUAAAGCGCGCGCAGGUGGUUCCCUAAGCCCGGCGUGAAAGCCCCCGGCUCAACCGGGGAGGGUCGUCGGGGACUGGUGAACUUGAGGGCGGCAGGGGCUGGUGGAAUCCCCGGUGUAGUGGUGAAACGCGUAGAGAUCGGGGGGAACACCCGUGGCGAAGGCGGCCAGCUGGGCCGACCCUGACACUGAGGCGCGAAGGCGUGGGGAGCGAACGGG
RNAcentral lists this ribosomal RNA (253 nucleotides) under uncultured bacterium. RNAcentral's name for it is "partial 16S ribosomal RNA". It matches the Rfam family "Bacterial small subunit ribosomal RNA", at positions 524 to 776 of the family's 1533-position model. The record is from RNAcentral.